GCCAGCAGCUCUAUCACACUGAGCUCACAGCUCACAGCUGGCAGCCCACUGGAGCUCAGCAGGUGUGAGCCUGGCCAGUACCUGGAUGGGAGACCCCCUGGGAAAGAUAAGGUUUCUGCUGGCA
This 124-nucleotide ribosomal RNA is filed under the name Lepisosteus oculatus (spotted gar). Lineage: Eukaryota; Metazoa; Chordata; Actinopteri; Semionotiformes; Lepisosteidae. The record is from RNAcentral.